This 301-nucleotide ribosomal RNA is filed under the name uncultured bacterium. RNAcentral's name for it is "partial 16S ribosomal RNA". It matches the Rfam family "Bacterial small subunit ribosomal RNA", at positions 509 to 807 of the family's 1533-position model. The record is from RNAcentral.
CAGCAGCCGCGGGAAUACGUAGGGUGCGAGCGUUAAUCGGAAUUACUGGGCGUAAAGCGUGCGCAGGCGGUUUUGUAAGACAGGCGUGAAAUCCCCGGGCUCAACCUGGGAAUGGCGCUUGUGACUGCAAAGCUAGAGUGCGGCAGAGGGGGAUGGAAUUCCGCGUGUAGCAGUGAAAUGCGUAGAUAUGCGGAGGAACACCGAUGGCGAAGGCAAUCCCCUGGGCCUGCACUGACGCUCAUGCGCGAAAGCGUGGGGAGCAAACAGGAUUAGAUACCCGUGUAGUCCCUGUCUCUUAUAC